AGGGGAUCAAAUACUAUUUUCCCUCACUGUAUAUAUUUGUAUUACUAGUAGUCGUUGCUUAGUAGCCUAGGCUAUAUGCUGCCGCCAGUGCUCUGUGUGGAGCGCAUUGAACAGCGUUUUUUUCUUGGAAAAAGUGAUAUUUUGAAAUAGAGCUCAUCUCAGUUAUUUGGUAAAUAAAGAUACAGAUGUAUGACCUGCAUGAACCUCUGUAGGAUGAUUAGAAAAUGUUGCUUUUUGGUUAAGCUUAGUCAAUUACACACGUCAAUUCACAAUUUAUAAUAUUGUCACCCAUCAGACUGUCAAUUUAAUGUUGUCUUUAGGCUAUAAUUAUUAUAUCUGUGCAAUUAGUUUUUAUAUAGUUUAGGUGGAGUUUCCAUGGGCCAUUAUCAGAUGGGCAGCCAACUGUCAGGUGAAGGAAGGGCUGGGGGGAAAUGACAUGUCCUCCUAAAACUGCUUAUAACACAAAUCGAAAUUCUAACAAUGUCAGUGUGUUAAAUAUAUUUAUUUAGGAAAAGUCAAAGAUGGAGGGGGGCAUGACUUUAAAAAUGCAGAUAUUAAAAUGUUUAAUUCACAUGAAGUUAAAAUGACAGUCUUGUUGUUUCUAGUGUUAACUACUGAGAUAACUACUUGUCUGACACUUAUUUUUUUUACUUGCCCCGGACAAUCUUAAAGUCGAGCCCUACUAUUGUCAAUAGGAAUCAUUCGACACAAAGUUGGCAGUUUAGUUUGGCGCAGAAUCAGCACAAAAAGGAGUGUUAAGGAUCACCUUGGGCUAGAUCUUAGUGUGUUAAGCCAGUUAUGACCAAUCCUGUUGCUAGCACCUAGAGCGACUUACAGUCACACACAACAUCUGCAGGUUUUAGUGCCUCAUUACUGAUUACGUCAUUUCAAUGGAAUAGUCAGCUCAUGAGUGUCAUACUAAGUGGGCUGUCCCAUCCAGGUCCUCCAAGACGACUUUGUUAAAGGUUACUCAUACACUAGUCUCAAAACAUCUGUUACAACCAUAUUCUGCCUUAAUGGACCUCGGAACACUUAGUUCCGAUGAUGUAAACAGUAUAAUGAGAGCUCUGUAAUGCGUUUGACGUUAGCUCCUGUGAGAACCAAAAUCAUAACUGGCUUCAAAAAACCACAGUGAGAUUCUGGUGAUCUACAGUCAAUGGCAAAAAAAACAUGUAUCGGUUCAAAAUAAGACCUCUAUAAUAUUUUGAUGUAAUGUUGUGUCUGUCUGGAUAUUUGGAUUGGUAUAAAUGAGUGGACAGUGUGGGCUCUGAUUGUGAUGUUAUGAACAUACAUGUCGUUUGGAACAUACUAGCGAUCAUUCUGUAUUUCACAGUGUAGAAGUUGUGCGUUCCUAGUAAAAACGUUCACUUGUGCAUCAUGAGUUGAGUUGAAUGUUGAAUACAUUUCCUAAUCGUGGGGUUUUCUGACCUCUUCUAAACCUUUUGGCAGGUUAAUAAUGGGAAAGCAUUUGAUCUUGUUAAGAAAGCAGAAGUAUCAAAUAUAUGUGGGUCUGUGAGUGUUUCAGUUCCCACUUGUGCGCCUAACAUUUGGUUUCCCAAUACUGUAUAUAGCAGGAGGGGUUUUGCGUUGUGUUUUUACAGAUGUUGCUCCUUCCUGAGGAUGGCAAAAAACAAGCUCCUUUGACAGUCAAGUGUUACAUAUACAUACAACCAUAUGACCAUACAAAAUAAUAUAUACCACACAUGUAUACAACAUAGUAUGAAAAAUGUAUGCACUCACUAAUUGUAAGUCGCUCUGGAUAAGAGCGUCUACUAAAUGACAAAAAUGUCAAUUGGAUCACAAAAAAUAUAUAUAUAUGACGUUAAAUUGAACACUGUAAUAGCUGCAGAACCUACUCAUGUGAACCAAGAUGAGGAUCCUCUUCUGUAAUUGUAUUAAUUUCCCUGUAGUGUUUCUCAGAAAAAUACAACUUUGCAUCACAAAAGUUCUGUGAAGUUUUAAACAACCCUAAACGUAUUCAACCCCAGUGUAAAGCGCUUUUCUCCACUGCUUAUGGGAUCCAGACCUAUGCAACUGCCAGAUACUUGUGUUUUUUGGCAGUGCUCAGUGAAUGACGUAGACAGGCGUGGUAAUAACAAUGAGAAACCUAUUAAUUCCAGACUAUCCAGAUUUUGCACUCUGAAGUUGGCUAAGGGCAAAUCAAAAAGGGUGCGGUCAUGGUAUUUAGUUCUGCUGGUUCUAAUAUACAUAUUGUGGAUGAUCCAUUGCCAUUUUUCGCUUUACUACAAUAAACGAAAGUAAAAUGUUCUAUCAUUCUAAAGUUUCCUGCCUGUCGGGAUGGCUGUGCUACGCGCGCAAUACACUGAGAAUGUGAGUACAGUACAUAGGAAAUGACUCAUAGGAGUUGAACUGUUAGCGUGGGUGUGUACUCUAUUAAAACAAGGCUCAGACUACUCCGGGUGACUCAUUGUGAGGCUAGCUUUUCCAUGGUGAAAACCAAAACUGGCUCUUCAUCAGAUUAACUUUCGGGAAUUGCGUUUAUACAAGAACCAUGGCUUCAAACAUUAUCUGUGCGCUUUGUGGACUUAUCAUUGCGACUGUAGCGAACCUAAACGGAGUGAACGGGCAACAAAACCUAUGCAGUAGUUCAGAGUUCUGGAGUUCGGACAUAGACCAAUGCGUAUCCUGCUCAUCAUGCAAGCAAUAUCCAAAGACUCCUUCAUGUAACACAUGCACAGUUACCAAGGAAAGAUCUGAUGUCUGGAGACUGGCAGCCAUUUCCAGCUUCUCUGUGCUGGCAGUUAUUCUGGUCGCUGCAGUAUUGAUCAUUGGAGUCAUGGUGCAUCGACGCAAGGCACAGAAGAGGCCCCUUCGUGAACCUAUUGAAGAGACAACGGGACCUCUUUACCAAGCGUAAACAUUUCACCUCAUCUUCCUUCUGACAUUGAUGUGACAGAACCAAGGGAACAUCUUUGGAUGACCAACCGAAAAAGAAUCAUUUUUGUACUGGACUGUACUCUGACCACAGGGUAUUAUUUGAGUGGAGUUGGACCAUUUAAUUUAUUAUACUGUUAGGAAAGAUGUGUUCACACACACUCAGUGUGUUACAGAACGGAGCUCUCACAUAGAACUGUGUUAACUGGCGCUGUCAAUCCCUUAUCUUGUCUGCAGUCAGACUAUACUCUGAGGAAGAUCAUGUAGUUAGUAAAGAGUAGCUCUCACAGCUUUUUGAAAUGAUGGCCUUUGAGUAGUGAUGCUAGGUUUAGCUUGUGUAGAUAUUCCAAUAAUCUAUCUAUCGAUAAGUAAGUUGUUCAAUCAAUAAGUUGUUUCAAAAACAGUAGUGAACAUGAGACACAUCUUGAAUAAUUUGGAUUUCUAACCAUAACUGUCAAUGCUUCAACACCUAUUGUUCUAUUGUAGCUUAUUAGGUCGAAUACCAAGUACCGCACUGCCUCGACUUGCCAUCAGCAGGAUACAAGUGAAUACAGCACAAUCGUGCUUCCUGGGCCAGGUUUCACAUACUGUACUUCUAUAAGAGUAAAAGGUUUCUAUUUGCUGGUCAUAUUUAACAUCCUCAUGGUAAUGAAGUGUAAAAGGGAAAUGUUAGAUUAUACAUUCAUGUUGGGCACAUUUGGGCCAUUUGAAUGUACUUUUAGGGCAAUUUAUCCAGUCUGUGUUUCCAUGUAGGAACUAUAUGCACUUAGUGCUUGUUUUUAAAGGAGUCGAAUUCUUUAACAGUAUUGUGCACUGUACUCUCUAGGGUCUUCGAAUCAAAAGAGGCAAAGGGAAAAGUUCACUGAUUAUGAAACUGCUCAAACAUAUUGGACAUUUUUAAACAGGUCAUUUGACCAUUAUACUGUAAUAUGUGUGUAUGCAGGAUAAGUAGCAUAACACAGGGGUUCGCAAACUGUCGUGAUAGAAAAGUUCAAGGUGGUCCAGAAUUCAGUGGGAAUGUGUUUGUAUAGUUCAGGGGAUGGGCAACUUUGAUGGGGGUGGGGGCCACAAAAAAUCUGAACUCAUCAUGAGGGGCCACAGUUGUGCCGCCACCCAAUAUAGUUUAUAUAUAUAUAUAUUUUUGCAUUUAAAUCCUUCCCAGAUGGACACAAAUAGGGAAACCUUAGCAUUGUGCUCUCCACAGUUGAAACAAUGGAGAUGAGUCAAUGCUUGUGUGACAGAAUUUUUUUAACACUAUUAGACACUGACUGUUAACCCAGGAAGGAACAUUGCAGUUUAGGGAAAAACAAACUGAACCCUAUUGAAAAGUAUAACCAUGGUAUAACUGUGUAGUCAUCUUCAAACUAACUCAGAGCACAAUUUUAGAGUUUAUUUCAUAUUACUUACAAUAUUACUUCCUUAUCAAUAUUAAGUGAAUAUGGAUAACAGCAGCAAGAAAGGGGUAACUUUUAUACAGAUAUUGUUUUUAUAUCUAUUUAUUUUGAAUGAUAUAUUUUGUAAUGUUUAUAGUUACAUGUGGAAACAGCUAACUGUAUGAAUAAAUACUGUCGAAGGGACCCCUGUAAAGUUGUUUAUAAAACCUCUGACACCAGCUGACCAAUUUUAUUUGUUACUGAGCAAUAAUUUAGGGCUCUAUUCAAUCUGUAUCGGGGAAGCGUUACAGAUUGUGCAAUAGAAGUGUAAAGGUAAUUUCAGAUUGAGCUGUCAUAUGCAGCGUUUACCAUGAAUGCAGUCUCCGCUAACGCAGAAACAUUGCCUUUAAAUUUCAAUUACGCUGUAACGCUGAACUUCCGUGAUUUGGAUUGAAUAGAACCCUAGGAAAUGUACUUUUCUUGUGGGCUAGUGCAGUAAUAAGCAUUGUUACAAAUUAACUCUGUCUGACUUUUGUGUAUUAUAUAGAAUAAAAUUAUGAAUCCCAUUGA
Molecule: long non-coding RNA, 4838 nt
Organism: Coregonus clupeaformis (lake whitefish)
Lineage: Eukaryota; Metazoa; Chordata; Actinopteri; Salmoniformes; Salmonidae
Exons: 5
Source: RefSeq, a predicted model, not a curated record